RNAcentral lists this ribosomal RNA (301 nucleotides) under uncultured bacterium. RNAcentral describes it as "partial 16S ribosomal RNA". It matches the Rfam family "Bacterial small subunit ribosomal RNA", at positions 509 to 807 of the family's 1533-position model. The record is from RNAcentral.
CAGUAGCCGCGGUAAUACGGAGGGGGCUAGCGUUGUUCGGAAUUACUGGGCGUAAAGCGCACGUAGGCGGCUUGGUAAGUUAGAGGUGAAAGCCUGGAGCUCAACUCCAGAAUUGCCUUUAAGACUGCCGAGCUAGCAGGUGAGAGAGGUAAGUGGAAUUCCGAGUGUAGAGAUGAAAUUCGUAGAUAUUCGGAAGAACACCAGUGGCGAAGGCGGCUUACUGGCUCAUACUGGACGCUGAGGUGCGAAAGCGUGGGGAGCAAACAGGAUUAGAGACCCGGGUAGUCCCUGUCUCUUAUAC